GAUGAAGAACGUAGCGAAAUGCGAUACGUAAUGUGAAUUGCAGAAUUCAGUGAAUCAUCGAGUCUUUGAACGCACAUUGCGCCCCCUGGUAUUCCGGGGGGCAUGCCUGUCCGAGCGUCAUUGCUGCCCUCAAGCACGGCUUGUGUGUUGGGCCUCCGUCCUCCUCCCGGGGGACGGGCCCGAAAGGCAGCGGCGGCACCGCGUCCGGUCCUCGAGCGUAUGGGGCUUCGUCACCCGCUCUGCAGGCCCGGCCGGCGCUGGCCGACGCGAAAGCAACCAUUUUUUCUCCAGGUUGACCUCGGAUCAGGUAGGGAUACCCGCUGAACUUAAGCAUAUCAAUAAGCGGAGGA
This 350-nucleotide unclassified non-coding RNA is filed under the name soil metagenome. Its description in RNAcentral is "partial contains 5.8S ribosomal RNA, internal transcribed spacer 2, and large subunit ribosomal RNA". The stretch from base 1 to 120 matches the Rfam family "5.8S ribosomal RNA", at positions 35 to 154 of the family's 154-position model. The record is from RNAcentral.